RNAcentral lists this ribosomal RNA (412 nucleotides) under uncultured bacterium. RNAcentral's name for it is "bacterial SSU rRNA". It matches the Rfam family "Bacterial small subunit ribosomal RNA", at positions 355 to 787 of the family's 1533-position model. The record is from RNAcentral.
UAGGGAAUAUUGCACAAUGGGAACCGUAGCAUGCAGCGACGCCGCGUGAAGGAAGAAGUAUCUCGGUAUGUAAACUUCUAUCAGCAGGGAAGACAAUGACGGUACCCGACUAAGAAGCCCCGGCUAACUACGUGCCAGCAGCCGCGGUAAUACGUAGGGGCGAAGCGUUAUCCGGAUUUACUGGGUGUAAAGGGAGCGUAGACGGACGGCAAGUCUGAAGUGAAAGGCAGGGGCUCAACCCCUGACUGCUUUGGAAACUGUCCAUCUAGAGUGCCGGAGAGGUAAGCGGAAUUCCUAGUGUAGCGGUGAAAUGCGUAGAUAUUAGGAGGAACACCAGUGGCGAAGGCGGCUUACUGGACGGUAACUGACGUUGAGGCUCGAAAGCGUGGGGAGCAAACAGGAUUAGAUACCC